UUGCUCGAGUGGCGAACGGGUGAGUAACACGUGAGUAACCUGCCCUUGACUUUGGGAUAACUUCAGGAAACUGGGGCUAAUACCGGAUAGGAGCUCCUGCUGCAUGGUGGGGGUUGGAAAGUUUCGGCGGUUGGGGAUGGACUCGCGGCUUAUCAGCUUGUUGGUGGGGUAGUGGCUUACCAAGGCUUUGACGGGUAGCCGGCCUGAGAGGGUGACCGGCCACAUUGGGGCUGAGAUACGGCCCAG
This 246-nucleotide ribosomal RNA is filed under the name uncultured bacterium. Its description in RNAcentral is "partial 16S ribosomal RNA". It matches the Rfam family "Bacterial small subunit ribosomal RNA", at positions 87 to 334 of the family's 1533-position model. The record is from RNAcentral.